AGAGAGAGAGAGAGAGAGAGAGAGAGAGAGAGAGAGAGAGAGAGAGAGAGAGAGUAGCCCGCCGGCCCAUUGAGGAAAGAUGGCUACAGUCGCUGCAAACGGAGUGCAGCAGGAGAAUGGAUUCAGCACCACGAACAGCGCCGGCAGGAUGAACGGGCUUACCAUCGGCCAGAACACCAUUCCAAUGAAGGACCACGACGCCAUCAAGCUUUUCAUCGGCCAGAUUCCCAGAAACCUGGAGGAAAAAGACCUGAAACCGCUGUUUGAGGAAUUCGGAAAGAUAUACGAACUCACUGUACUGAAAGACAGGUUUACCGGAAUGCAUAAAGGAUGUGCCUUUCUAACAUACUGUGCGAGAGAGUCAGCACUGAAGGCCCAGAGCGCCCUCCAUGAACAGAAGACCCUGCCAGGGAUGAACCGGCCCAUCCAGGUGAAGCCAGCCGACAGCGAAGGACGGGGAGAAGAUAGGAAGCUGUUUGUGGGGAUGCUCGGCAAGCAGCAGAGCGAGGACGAUGUCCGGCGGCUGUUCGAGACCUUCGGCCAGAUUGAGGAGUGCACCGUCCUUCGAGGGCCUGAUGGGGCCAGUAAGGGCUGUGCUUUUGUGAAGUUCUCCAGCCACGCAGAAGCUCAAGCCGCCAUCAACAGCUUGCACGGUGGACAAACUAUGCCUGGUGCCUCGUCCAGCCUGGUGGUCAAAUUUGCAGACACUGAUAAGGAACGCACCCUGCGCAGGAUGCACCAGAUGGCGGGCCAGCUCGGCAUCUUCAGUCCAAUGACCAUCCAGUUUGGGGCCUAUGGCGCCUACUCUCAUGCUGUAAGUCUCAGCCCGGCAGGAGAGGAGACGCAGAUGAUGCAACAGCAAGCGGCCCUGAUGGCAGCGACACAAGGGUCUUACCUGAACCCUAUGGCAGCCAUCGCUGCCGCGCAAAUGCAGCAAAUGGCAGCUUUCAAUGUCAACGGACUGGUGGCUACUCCCAUGACACCGUCCUCAGGCACCAGCACACCCCCAGGCAUUUCUGCCACAGCCGUGCCCAGCAUAGCCACCCCCAUUGGGGUCAAUGGAUUCAGCGCCCUCCCACCUCAAAGCAACGGCCAGCCCACAUCUGAGCCCAUCUACACCAACGGGAUUCAUCCUUACCCAGCACAGAGUCCAACGGUGACUGACCCUCUCCAGCAGGCUUAUGCUGGCGUCCAGCACUACGCAGCAGCCUACCCUGCCGCCUAUGCGCCAAUCAGCCAAGCGUUCCCCCAGCAACCAACCAUCAUGCCCCAGCAACAGAGGGAAGGGCCAGAAGGUUGCAACCUGUUUAUUUAUCACCUGCCCCAGGAGUUUGGAGAUGCUGAGCUCAUGCAAAUGUUCCUACCUUUUGGCAACGUCAUUUCUGCCAAAGUCUUUGUGGACCGAGCGACCAAUCAGAGCAAAUGUUUUGGCUUCGUGAGUUUUGAUAACCCUUCCAGUGCUCAAGCCGCCAUCCAGGCCAUGAACGGCUUCCAGAUAGGCAUGAAGAGGCUGAAGGUGCAGCUAAAGCGGCCAAAGGAUGCCAACCGACCUUACUAACCUGUCUGCUGUUCAUAACCAGUGUGAGGUGGCCUUUCCCCCCGCUAUAGCCACACACACCCCGACCUGUCGUGGGGCCAAGUUCCCUCACCUGAUGAAGGGCCACAACACCUUAUUUCCACAAGUGCAGUAAAAGUACAAAGACUCCUUGCUCUGCUACAUAUCAUGAAGGAAGGGUGGUCCCUUGAUCCUCCUGGAAAGCCGCUGGAAGAUUGGGUGGCUGAAAGAAGGAUCCCAGAGUCGUUGUUUUUUAUUGGUAUCAUUUGCCUUUUUUCCCUGUUUUGCUUUGGCGUCUGUGGAAGAAGAUUUUUUGCAGAGACCGACUUUUUGCUGCUGUUUUUUAGACACGAUGAAAAAAGAAAACUUUAUAGACUCAUUUUGCUCAAAGCAUGCAUACAGACACAGGACACAGAUGAAGUCACAGAAACAGAAACAAACCAAACGUACAACUAUCAUGAAGCUACACUUAAUGGAAAACCGGAAAACAAAAAGACUUUGUACAUGUAUAAAUAAGUGCAAAUGCCAACACAAGUACUGAAGCAAACUCCUGUGUGUGUGCGCGCACACACACACACACACACACACACACAAGUACACAAACACACACACACACACCAGCCUGCUGCAAUUUUGGUUUUUGUGCCUACACAGGUGUUGUGCUCUGUGACAGGGCAAGCUCUGGAUCGAAGAAGAAAACAAGAAGAAGAGGAGAGAAGUGGGGAAUCCAGGAUAAUUUACAUGCAUCAUUCCUUAGGAAAUAGGGACCAAAGGACUAAACGCUUUUUAAAAAAAUUAUAAAUAUAUAAAUAUAUAAAUAUAUAUAUAUUUAAAAACUCGUACCUUGUAGCUGCAAGUAUAACAAUUAACUCAUCGUAAAAAAAAGAGCAUUAAAUCAAUAUCCAGUGGCCUCCUGUAAGUACAAAUAAAAGAAAAUGGAAAUAAUGUACAAAAAAUAAAUAAAAAGACAUGGAACCGUAGCGUAGGGGCUGAUGUUUGGCUCUGGAUGCUGACUUGGCAACCGGCUGUAGAAUAGUGUCGUAGACUAGGAAAAACAAAUGUACAUUUCCUAACAUUUGCUGUUGUUUAAAAACAUAUUUAAGUUGUCUCAAAAGGAGGGGAAAAGAAACGGUAAGGGGAUAAAAUAAAACACUCGUCCACGCCUAUGAGCAGCAAGACAAUUCUCUGAUGGAUGUUAAGGGGUCAGCCACUGGAUAUCUCACUCAUCAUGAUGUAAAAGUCACUGCACUCUCCGGAAGGCAGACUGUUCUGGCGGACGAUGAACGGAAAACAGAAGAAAAGACUGAACUUUCUCACGUCUGUGCUGGACAGGGUGCAGAUGUUUAAGGCUUCUCACUAGCCUUCGUGUACAAGCGACAAUCCACUGCAAAGACCAAGUAAAAACAGGAAAGGGAUGUUCUUUUCUUUGUUUUUUUAUCUUUUGUAUUGCAUCAAGUGUGAAAUGCGACGCCACAAGUUCUUAAAGAGGACGGUCGAGAGAGAGACAAGAGGAGGGCGAUAGCUACUGAAACUGCCAGAACGAACUAAGACUAGUAAUGAAUCGGUUGAGCCCGAUCAGCGGGAGACAGGAUGUCUGUGAAAAACGGUUAAUGUUGUAUACGUCCACAUGGAGGUGUUUCAAAGCUCUAGGCUGAGGAAAUGUUCAUCUCGCCUCCCGGCUGAUAAACGUACCUUUUUCUAAAGACAAAUGGCAUCAAAGGGAUUUAGGCUUUUAGAGGUCACUAAUUCCAACGUUACCAUGUUCGUGCUGUUUUAUAUACACUUCAUUGGACCUCACGGAGAAAAGCUACCGCCUAAACAGGCAUUCUAACAAGCUCUCUGCCAUCAUUCAGCUCGCCUGAAGCUUUUCUGACACUGACAGAGCAAAACACUCCGCCGCUGUCAUGUCUGGAUUUAGAGUCCCGUAUCCUUUAUUUUGACUGUUUUAGAGCUGUGCAUGUAGACUCCUCCCUAAAACGGGAUCAAUAUGUUUGGAGUCGGUCUUCAGGGAGGAACCAUGGUGUUUUCAGUCACUGUGAGCACUUCCCAAUUUUCUCUGCAAGAGCGCAAGCUCGCCUCCGUACACCAACCCCUCUGAGCACUGACAGCUGGCAUUUAGAGGCAAGGCAUGGCACAAAGGAGCGAGAGGAAAAGAGAGGAAGUCAACAGCUCUUCUCGUUGAGAUCAUCUCAAAUGACGCUUCUAGGUUGCUGCUAAAUAAUUUCACAGAUAUAUUUAGAAGCUAUAGUCAAGCCCCUGGUGACAACGUUAUGGAUUUGUGUCAUAGCCCAUCAUAGAACCAGACUUAAGGGUUAAUAGGGACCAAACAUGAGCGUUUGGGACCAGCCAGAUGAUACAGUCUCCUUUUUGCCAGACCUUUCCUCUUUUUUAUUGAAAUUCAGAUCAGUUUGAAAUCCCACAGAAUCAAAACCCAAUCAAAUGUUCCACGUUUUCGUUCUGCACUGCCUCUGUCGCUUAAAUGAGUGGAAGGCCCUUAUUUUAGACAACAGCAUGCUGUCCUAAUGGCAGCCAUGACUUUCCAAACCACAGCCCCCCACUCCACCCCCACCACAUUUUUGAACCUGGCUAAUGCUUGAGCUUACUACCCUUCAAUUAUCUCCAGCGCCAUAUCAGACAUGCUAUUUCACCUUUCCCUAAUCACACUGUAAUCAUCGACCUCUAUACAUUAGCAGCAACCAAGUGAAAAAUCACCGGGAUAAUCACUUGGACCGAAUGACGGGAGAAAUUGUCCCCGGCUUGCACAUGGAUGACAGAAGGAAGAUUAGGGAGAAUUAUGUUUGUGCCUACUCCCUGGCAAGGCUGCUGACAGCUGACCUGGCGCCAAUAAUACAACCAAAUUUACCCGAAGAGUUGACGGGGGACGUGGAAAAGGACCUUCCCUUCUCUAACAGGGAGUUAAAACUGCAGAACAGGCGGAUUAUACCGGAAACUAAAAAAGAAAGGACCACAAAUAGUCCUUUGCCUUUUCUUUACCACAACUUUAGCUUAAAACUGGGUCAAAACCAACACUUUUGCACGGGAAACACUCGAUCCUGCAGCAGCAGCAGCUGUUAUUGUAAUUCUUUUGAUCUGAAACAUGAAAAUUGCAUCUCAGCAGUCGACCACAGAAGUCAGCCUGUUUUACAAAACGACUUGCUAAAACUUCUUUCUUUUGCUCCAGCGUUCCCCUGCUAGGAUAGAUCCAAAGCACAGUUAUGUUCAGCUUUAGAAAGAUAUUCAGCAGCACAGCUCUUCAGGUUAAACGUGACGUUGGCAGCACCAUGCCAUUUCGUUCUUCUGCAUUUGAUUAAACAUGUUGGAAAACCCAUGAAGGGGCUCAUAAAAAUGUCAUGUUCCCUAAACAAGAAGUGUUUAUUGAUUUGAAGCAGAACUCUCAAAAGGUGUUCAAAUGUUCCACAAGCAAUUAGAUGUUCCAUGUUUGUCUUGGCAACCUCUUAAUCUCAUACAGCAACACGGAUCUUGGAUGCAUGCUCCACUGAACUUCCCAGUCUCUUAUCAGAUGUUGUACUGUUCCCUCUAAUAGCAGGUUGAGUCCCUAGUGAGCCAAAACCCAGCCUAGCCCAGUCUCCUGCUGUCUAACUUGGCUAAUGGUGCAGCGUUCAUGUAGCAUACCUGCUAUGCCAGGGCUAAAUUAGACAAUGAGAAACCAGCACUUGAACACUUUUAUCAAGGGCCCUGAAACGAGCUUUUCACCCUUGGAAGAGUGACACUGAGAUGUGGAGCACCAAAAGUGUGUAUCUUUGUAACUGGAAAUGGAACUGGGAGGAAAAAAAGGAUAAAUUAUGUUUAGAAGCCAACUUUCUUCUUACAUUUAUGUAGCGAUGGGUACCAAAUUCAGUACUUUUUAAGGUACCGGCCGAAUUCCACAGUACCGACUGAGCACCGAUUCACGUCAUUUGUAACGGUGCCUCGUUUCGGUACCCGUCCUUCAUAACGAGAACUUGCCUAGACAGCUGCACAUUCACAAGAGUGUUAUGUCAUCGGUCGCUGCGAGCCAGUUGUAAACAGAGCAGCAUGGUAGAAAGAACGCACGCUAAAGCUUGGGUCCACUUCACUAAAUGUGAUGGGUAACUGGGUGAUGAUGAAACCAGCGACAACGAUCUAAGUGAGACAUCCUCAUCUUAAUCUGCUCUGGUAGGUAAAUAAAAUGUUUAAGAUAACGUUAGCUUGAUAUGUUAGCUUCCGUUCCGCUAAUGGUGCGUUCGCUUUCUCCUCGCAACUCCGAAUUUCCGACUAGAACAUGAACGCGCUCUAAAGUUUGGCUUCACUUUACUAAAUGCGACGGGUGAUUGGGUGAAGAUGAAACCAGCGACAACGAUCUAAGUGUGAGGCAUCAUCGUUUUAAUCUGCUCCAGCAGCUAAAUAAACUGUUUAAGAUAACGUUAGCUUGAUAUGUUAGCUUCCAUUGCCACCAUUGUUAUCAGCUAAUGGUGCAUUCACUUUCUCCUCGGAAAUUCUAACUUCCCAGUAGAACAAAUCAAAUGAAAAAAGACGGCAAAAGGAAUGAAGAUACACAGUAAAUUUAGUUCACAGUAAAGAUGUUUGCUUCAGUUUAAUUAUCAGCUUAUAAAACUACAAGGACCAUGUUAAAAUACAAACAGUUGUAUGUUAUUUAUCGUGAUAUUUAUCAAAUAUGGUUAUAUAUUGAGAAAAAUGCUUAUUUAAUUAUAAAAGGGAAUUAAAAUAUUAAACACUCAAAAGUAUCAAAAAUUGGUACCGUUAAGUACCGGUAUCGAUUCCUAGGUACCGGAAAUUAGUAUCGGAUCGAUUCAAAUGUCAAAGGUACCAUCCCUACAUUUAUGUUUAAUGUUUGUUGGCCUGCUUAGCUUUUAGCCUGAAUCCAGUCUGGUUGUUAGCCCAUGCUAUGUUCAAACAUUGUGACCACUAAGAAAAGUCAACGCGGAGGGACUCGCCAAAAAGAUACCAAACUAGGAAAUGUUAUGAACCCUAAAGUUUAAGGUGAUGAACUUAGAUGAUCUUCACCAGUGUGUGAUGAUGACUAAUGAGGCUGUAAUUUGACGCUCUUAGCCUGAAGGAAUAAAUGUGCACGGUACUGUAUAGUUUGCCAUCUCUGUCUGUGGUAAAACGAGCGGUGCAUCUAGGCACCCAAAAUGAAUUGUUUUUAAUGAUAAUUUCUAAGACUAGCUCCUAAGCUAUGGCAUGCCCCGACUUCAAAAAUAGAAGGGUUGUAUACGAAUUGCAUCUAUUUCAGCUGCCACUGUGCUCACUCAGCUUGUCAUGAAGAGUUGCACAAAUCCUUGGAGGGUUCUAGCCAAUGGCAGGACGGAGCAAAAGCCUGCUGGAGCAUGCAUAUCCAAUCCACUGGGUGCAUAACACUCACCCUGAAAUAGCAGUGAUUGUCAAGGAAAGGAAGUGAAAUGUAAUUGACUGAAAGUGGAGAGAUAAUUAAAGGAACCUGUUGGACAGGAGGGAAGAAAUUAAUUCCCCUCAUUUAAUAGCUGCUUUGGGAGAGAGCUGUUCCGUCAUCUCUUUUUGACGCAGAAAAGGGUUUUGCUCUGGAAAUGGAAUUUUUAACUGAAAAAAAAAAUAAAGGUGGUGAUUGGGAACGGUAGAAACGGGCGCUGGGUGGUGGCGGUGCUGUGUGCUCAACUGACACUCCACAAAAUCACUCCCAAGACUCAGGGCAUCAGGCACGAUGAUGUCACGAUUAGUGAAGAGGUUCAGAGCCUCGCCUCAGCCCUGAUCCUGAGCAGGUUUAGACUGCAGCAGCAGGAAGAGCGGUUGCAUGCUCACCAGAGAGUUGCUGCUUAAGUAGAGAGGCUGCUAAACUAUCUAAAUCGGAGUUAUGACUCAAACUGUCGUCAUCCAAUUCAAGAGUACCAACAACUACAGAUGCCAACAGUCAGCUGACAACUGAAGGUGUGCAAACAACCUUGCUGAUACGAAAGUGAUUUUAUAAGACUUCUUAAUGUAAAUAGCCUUUAAAAUACAAAAAUAAAAAGAGGUAAGGUUCUAAAGCAACGUGUGCCGAGAAACUCGACUCUGUGGGACAAUGAUGUCACUAUAAAAUGUUUCCACAGCAGUGCAGGGAUUCAGGAGGGUUGAAGUCCUCUUAAGCCCAUUAGGUUUGGACUGUGCGCAUGCACCCUACAGCCCUAAGCAUCGGACCAAGGCUCGGAAAGUAUCUGACUCAGUGUCAGACCUAAGCCACGGCGUCCAAGCAAGCGAUCCGUUUAUUACGGUUCUGUGUACACCGACAUGUCAUGUUUUCUAAGACAGGAGUGCAGUAACUGGAUUAGUCCGGUUGGAGCUGAUGAACAGAUAUGACGGUGACGGUUGGGCUCAUAAGAGCAUCAGCACUUUCUUCGUUCUCAAACUUCCUCUGAAGUAACAGUUCAGGCUUUCGGUGCUCACUGAAGGACAUUUUACACGACGAAACUCAAGGUGACCACGUGUUAGCGUGUACACAAACCGGGCUGGAACCAAGCAUUUGAUGGAUAAGUUGAAAUGCUACAAACAUGGUUAGGCUGGGGACAGAACACGGGGGAGUCCAACAGAACCCUCUAAGUGCUUGACCCAGCCCGCCGCCACAGCUCUCCUAACAGCUGCAUUGUACCUGUACAUAUAAAAUAGCCUAUUUUUCAAUUAUGUUUAACAUUCUUUAAAAGUCAAACAUUAGAUCAUGUUCAAACGUAACAAAGAAAAAUAAAAUAGGUCAUUUAUUUCAGUACAACUAAGAGAAAGAACCUUUGAAAUAAUUUAUCAAGAACUGAAGAUAAAAUGGUUUUAUUUCUUGUGUAGUGAUGCACUCGUGUUCAGACGUGGAUAAUUAAACUCGUGCUGGGAACUGGUUCUUUAUUUUUCUCUCUGUUGUAUUUUCAUUGGCUGAAGCUGGGUAAACCCGUUGUCACAAGGUUUAGUCGGAUAUCCUUUGACAACCUUUUUCCAUUCUUAUUUAUUUAUUUCGUUAUUUUGGCUGCACAAUCCCGCUGUAACAGUCCCUGUGGAUGUUCAAAGAGAUUUUUCUCAGUGAAAGCUGUGAAAUCGAUAGGAGAAUUAGCAAACUGCACUGUAAAAGGUUGAUUGAUGGACCUGGUCUGUGGAUAAAAAUAAAUAAAAAAAGUUCAGUGCACAACUGAGUUCAAAUGGAUCAGCACUGUUCAAAAGAAAAAAAUAUCAUAAAUGAGGCCUUCUGUUGUUUUGAGGGCAAAAUUGUGUCUGAAACUACAACAAAAAGGGAACAGAGACAAAAAUACCAAACUUUACCGUUGUGUUGUUUUGGGGGCCGAUGCCAUCACAUCUUAUUGAGUAUUGUUGUAUUUUCAUGGUUGGUGCCCCUGUAACAUUCUCCUCUUUAUGUUUGCUUUGUGAUAUAUUAUUUUUCAGGGUUAUUUUCCAUCACCAUAGACACAUGUGAGGUUCACACGCUCUGCUCCUGCCUAGGGAAUGUUUGAUCCACUGAAGACACUGUGCCACCAGUAGAUCACGGGACAUUUGCUUUGCUCCAGUCAGGUCGGUUUGUAAAAGGAGUGGAGAUCUCUGCCUUAAGCCCAGUCUGUUCUCUUUGACAGCACUACCUGAACAGUGCUCAGACAAUGUAUUCUGGGGAUGCCAAAUCUUCUUUAACACCAAGCCGGAUCAGUUUUUAGCCCAUUUCGAGCCCGUUCAGACACAAACAUGGAUGUGGUCGCUGACCUUCGUUUUCACUGGUUACAAGGACCAAAAUGUAAACAAACUCAGCAAGCUGAGCAGUUUGCUUCAAUCAAGCAUCCAUUGAGAACCUUUAAAGUGUAAUCUUUGUAUCGCCAGUCUUUCCAUUCCCAGCUUCACUAAAGUCAGUUUAUUUGAUGUCAUUCAGAUGUUGUUUAUCAUGAUAUAUUUUGGUGAUUCAGUUCACAAUGAAAUAUUUUUGUCCUUUACGAUUUGACUUGGAUAAAAGAUGAUUUACUGUUUUAUGUCUUUUUGUUUGAAACAGAGAUGUAAUUUGAACUACCGUUGGCCGGGGCCGUUUCUCUGAUGCGGGAUGAUAUCUCCCAUAGUGAUCCUGAACUCUGUAGAUCUCUAGUUCAUUAUAUUCUGCUUAGACUAAAAUAAAGCACAGUCCUGUAGAAGAUUAAA
RNA transcript from Nothobranchius furzeri (turquoise killifish), 9655 nucleotides. It is a transcript of the gene named CUGBP Elav-like family member 6, with no coding region annotated. The record is from RefSeq and is a predicted model, not a curated record. NCBI's taxonomy places the organism in Eukaryota, Metazoa, Chordata, Actinopteri, Cyprinodontiformes, Nothobranchiidae.